RNAcentral lists this ribosomal RNA (253 nucleotides) under uncultured bacterium. RNAcentral describes it as "partial 16S ribosomal RNA". It matches the Rfam family "Bacterial small subunit ribosomal RNA", at positions 524 to 776 of the family's 1533-position model. The record is from RNAcentral.
CACGUAGGGGGCGAGCGUUGUCCGGAAUCAUUGGGCGUAAAGAGCUCGUAGGCGGCUCGGUAAGUCGGGUGUGAAACCCCCCAGGCUCAACCUGGGGACGCCACCCGAUACUGCUGUGGCUAGAGUCCAGUAGGGUAGUGGAAUUCCCGGUGUAGUGGUGAAAUGCGUAGAUAUCGGGAGGAACACCAGUGGCGAAGGCGACUACCUGGCCUGUUCUUGACGCUGAGGCGCGAAAGCUAGGGGAGCAAACGGG